UUUCCGUAGGUGAACCUACGGAAGGAUCAUUCAUAAUAAAGUGUUUUAUGGCACUUUUUAAAAAUCCAUAUCCACCUUGUGUGCAAUGUUAGAUCUCGUCAAUCUUGGCGAGAUUUUUAUACAUCAACUCAUUCUUUAACUAAUUUGUCUGAAAAAUAUUAUGAAUACUUAAUUCAAGAUACAACUUUCAACAACGGAUCUCUUGGCUCUC
This 211-nucleotide unclassified non-coding RNA is filed under the name plant metagenome. RNAcentral describes it as "partial contains small subunit ribosomal RNA, internal transcribed spacer 1, and 5.8S ribosomal RNA". The record is from RNAcentral.